Molecule: ribosomal RNA, 253 nt
Filed under: uncultured bacterium
Lineage: Bacteria
Description: partial 16S ribosomal RNA
Rfam family: Bacterial small subunit ribosomal RNA
Source: RNAcentral
UACGGAGGGAGCUAGCGUUGUUCGGAAUUACUGGGCGUAAAGCGCACGUAGGCGGCUUUGUAAGUUAGGGGUGAAAGCCCGGUGCUCAACACCGGAACUGCCUUUAAGACUGCAUCGCUUGAAUCCAGGAGAGGUGAGUGGAAUUCCGAGUGUAGAGGUGAAAUUCGUAGAUAUUCGGAGGAACACCAGUGGCGAAGGCGGCUCACUGGCUCGACACUGACGCUGAGGUGCGAAAGCGUGGGGAGCGAACAGG